Molecule: ribosomal RNA, 463 nt
Filed under: uncultured bacterium
Lineage: Bacteria
Description: partial 16S ribosomal RNA
Rfam family: Bacterial small subunit ribosomal RNA
Source: RNAcentral
GACGAACGCUGGCGGCGUGCUUAACACAUGAAAUUCAACCGAAAAGGCCCCUCCGGUGUUACUCAACCGGCGAACGGUUGGUUACCACGUGGUUAAUCUGCCCCUCACUUUGGGAUAGCCACCGGAAACGUUGUUUAUUACCGGAUUUGACCUUAUUUCGCAUGGCGUGUGUUGGAAAGUUUUUCGGUGAGGGAUGUGCUCGCGGCCUAUCAGCUUGAUGGUGAGGUAAUGGCUCACCAUGGCUUCGACGGGUAGCCGGCCUGAGAGGGUGACCGGUCACACUGGGACUGAGACACGGCCCAGACUCCUACGGGAGGCAGCAGUGGGGAAUAUUGGACAAUGGGCGGAAGCCUGAUCCAGCAACGCCGCGUGAGGGAUGACGGCCUUCGGGUUGUAAACCUCUUUCAGUACCGACGAAGCGCAAGUGACGGUAGGUACAGAAGAAGCACCGGCCAACUACGUG